Molecule: long non-coding RNA, 212 nt
Organism: Oxyura jamaicensis (ruddy duck)
Lineage: Eukaryota; Metazoa; Chordata; Aves; Anseriformes; Anatidae
Exons: 3
Source: RefSeq, a predicted model, not a curated record
CAGCCAGAGAGGGUGGGCGGGGCCCCGCCUAACAGCGAGUACCGCCUUAGCAACGGCCCUGACAGACACUCGCUCCAGCCAAUCAGCGCGCAGCCCGGAUCCGCCGCGCGCUCCCGCCCCUCUCCUUUGAUUGACAAGCGGCUCCGCCUAUCAGAGGGCGGUGCCGCGUAGCCUCGGGCGGGGGUCCCGGUGCUUUCCCCCCCGCCUCCCCC